AUUUCAGUGGCUUACAACCACAAAGGUUUAUUUCUCAUUAUGCAAUCUGGAGGGUCAGUUGAGGGCUCUGUUCAACCCCAUCAUCAUCCUCCCCCUAGGACCUGGGCUGAUAGCACAACAUCACCUAGGUUAUUGCCAGUCGCUGUGACCAAGGGAAAAGAGAACAUGGCAGAGCAUAACUUGGUUCCUAAAACUUCUGGCCAGAAGUGACACUUCCACUCACAUUUUAUUGGCCAGACAAAGUCCCAUAGUCAUGCUUUAACUCAACUGAGACAGAAAAUUCUAACCUGGGGAAAGAGAGAAAAAAAAAAGGAUUUGUGAACAAUCUUAAUGACUACUCCACAUGCAAAUUCUGGUCCUGUGAAUCUAGGAACUGCUGUGGACUGAAUGCAUGCAUUCCCCAAAACUUUAUUUGCUGAAGCCCUAAUCCCCAAUGUAAUGGUAUUUAGAGGUGGUGCCUUUGGGAGGUGAUUAGGUCAUAAGGGUGCAUCCCUCAUGAAUGGGAUUAGUGCCCUAAAAUACACAAAAGAGAUUCUCUCUCUCUCUCUCUCUCCACCAUGUGAGGACACAGCAAGAGAUCCAGCAAGAAGCUCAGAACCCAUCUGCUGAAGCACAGAAGAGGGGUUCAGGACCCAUCUGUUGAAGCUCAGAGAGUGGCUCAGGACCCCAUCUGCUGAAGCUUAGAGAGCGGCUCAGGACCCCAUCUUCUGAAGCUCAGAGAGGGGCUCAGGACCCCAUCUGCUGAAGCUCAGAGAGGGGCUCAGGAUCCCAUCUUCUGAAGCUCAGAAGAGCGGCUCAGGACCCCAUCUUCUGAAGCUCAGAAGAGCGGCUCAGGACACCAUCUUCUGAAGCUCAGAGAGCGGCUCAGGACCCCAUCUGCUGAAGCUCAGAGAGCGGCUCAGGACCCCAUCUUCUGAAGCUCAGAAGAGCGGCUCAGGACCCCAUCUGCUGGCACCCUGAUUUUGGACUUUCAGUAUCCAAAACUACUCUAAACAGAGGUAGGGGUAAAAUCAUCUAAGAAAAUCCAGGGUCAGAGGAGUGGAGACUGAAGAGGAGAGCCCUUGUUGUGAGCAGCGAGCGGCUGGCAGGAAAUGCCACCUGAGCCAGCAGCCAGACCCUGCCUGGCAGGUACCACGAGGCCUGUUCCCUGGCACAGAAGCCAGAAAGCCAGUGGAAGUAGAGAGGAGUUCCAUUGUCCUGGAGCUUGGCUGUCACAGGUCUCCUGAACCAGGCUACUCAUUGGAAGCAGGGAUCUUCCAAUCCCCGUGACUCAGGUGAAGUAGCAUCCUUAGGGAUUACUUCCUCCGCCUUCGCGCCUGCCUGCUUCUGUUGGGGCAGGGCUCUGUGCAUGAGGAUGAAGACAAAUCUACAGGAGGAAGAUUCAAAAGAUCUCUGUUUGGGGAAGCUCUAAAACUGAAAAAUAAUCACAGCUAACAUUUACUGAGCAUAUGCUGCAUGCCUAGUAUUGUUCUAAGGGCUGUAUGGAUAUGAACUCAAUCCUCACAACUACCCCAUAAUGUAACUACUAUUAUUAUCCCUGUUUUCAUAUGAAAAAAACAAGAACUAGAGAGGUUAGCUACAUAAAAUGUCCAAGGUCACACAGAAAGGAAGGGAAAGAACCUAGAUUUGAAUCCCUGUCUGGUUUCAGGGCCCAUGUGCUUUGCUGUCAACUACUCUGCAAGGUACCUCUCUGAUAGGGAGGGACUUACCCAGCUUUCGCUCUACCCUCAGGGAGCUCCAGAAUGGUGUGACAUGCAUAUUCCUUGCCCCUCAAGAAUCCCCAAGUUUGAUAGGGGAGGCAGAUAUCCUGUCCUAGGAAGAUAUGUCCAGUCUGAUGGAAAAGACACAAGCUUUAUCUUUGGAUCAUCUGACUAAUACUAGGGACUCAGCCCCAGGAUGUCUACAGUUUGAUGAGUUAUGUUAUUAGAUUCUAAGAGACUCAGUUAAUUCGACUAGACAAAAUUGUGAGCCUUAGUGUUAAAGAGACGAGGAUGGAGCAAAGUUAGGGCAGCUUAAUUGGGGUUGCCCCAGGAGGGGAGGGUGAUACAAGAUUGGCAAUAAGCAGAAGAAAUGCUAGUGGAGAUAAGAGGGCAGGACACUUGUGUGGUGUGCAGACUUGCUGAAGACAAUGUCUGGAAAGCAGGGGUUUGCUUAGUUUAGCAGCUCUCUACCUUGGCUGUCUACUAGAAUCACCUGGAGCUAUGUCUAAAAAUACUGAUGCUUGAACUUCACCCCAGAACAAUUAAUCUUUAGGGAUGAGGGCAUGGCACUGGUGUUUUUAAACAGCCCUCAGGGCAGGGCAUGGUGGCUCAUGCCUGUAACCACAGCACUUUGGGAGGCUGAGGCGGGUGGAUCACCUGAGAUCAGGAGUUCGAGACCAGCUUGGCCAACAUGGCGAAAUGCUGUCUCUACUAAAAAUACAAAAACUACCCAGGCAUGGUGGCACACACCUGUAAUCCCAGCUACUUGGGAGGCUGUGGCAGGAGAAUCACUUGAACCCGGGAGGCGGAGGUUACAGUGAGCUGAGAUCAUGCCACGGCACUCCAGCCCAGGUGACAGAUCUAAACUCCAUCUCAAAAAAUUAAAAAAUAAUAAUAAUAAAAUUAAAGGCCCUCAGGAGGUGCUAUGCACAACUGGUGUUGAGGACCACUGGCUGGGGAUGAGGUCUAUGGUGUCUUAAGCUCUGAGAUCUGGGAUGCUGGAUGACUUAUGUGGAAGAAAUUCUAGAGACAUGAGUUUGCUAUGAACUGAGCUGGUGAAGAUUUGGAAUUAAAGGAAAGGGGGAGGGAAAAGAAAAGCUAAAGGACCAGAGGAGACAGGCCAGAUUGUUGUUUUCGCUGUUAGUGAGCUAGAGAAACUUGGUUCCUCUGUUUCUAGGCUUUUGAGGCAAAAUAAAAGGCCCACAAAAAUCCAAAAGGUCUGAUAACCCAGUCCCUUCUCAUAAAAAGAAUAGCUAUCAAGCCUGAUAUCAGACAUGGAGAUUAGGCAGGAAACACUGAGCUAAGAAUAUUCCCUUCCUUCGAUUAAAGACCUUUUUUUUUAAAUUAAUGCUCUCCUAGGCCGAGUGUGGUGGCUCACACCUGUAACCCCAGUACUUUGGGAGGCCGAGGCAGGCAAAUCACUUGAGGUCAGCAGUUCAAGACCAGCCUGGCCAACAUGGUGAAACCCCAUCUCUACUAAAAAUACAGAAAUUAGCUGGGCAUGGUGGCGGGUGCCUGUAAUCCCAGCUACUCAAGAGGCUGAGGCAGGAGAAUCGCUUGAACCCAGGAGAUGGAGGUUGCAGUGAGCCAAGAUCAUGCCACUACACUCCAGCCUGGGUGACAGAGUGCAACUCCUUCAAAAAAAAAAAAGAAAGAAAAGAAAAGAAAAGAAAACACACACACACCAAAAAUAAUACUUUCCUAAGUCAGGGUCACCCUCGCCUUCCCCUCCAUACACCAUCAUGUGGAGUGGAAAGGAGAAAAGGCUGUCUCGCUGACAUGUCCGGAGCUCCCUACCUCAGGGUUUUUGCCUUUGCUGCUACCAUCUUCCUGCUGCAUUCUUCCCUCAGACGCCUGAGCAGCUAAACCCUCAGUUCCUUCAGGUCUGUGCCCAAAUGUGGCUGUAGCAGAACAGCUUUCUUUGAUUACCUGUAAGAACAGUAAUUCCUCCCUCUCUCCCUCUCCCUAAUCUUUUAUCCUGCUUUAUUUGUCCCCCAUAGCAUUUACCAUAACCUAGUAUAUUUCAUAUUUUUUUCUACUGCCUCUGACUUUCCUCCAGAAUGGAACAUUAAAGGGAAAGACUUUGUCCUUUUUUUUUUAUUAUUAUUGUCUCCCCAAAGCCUAGAAUGGUGACUGGAAAAUAGCAGUCUGGAGCUGAAAAAAUAUCUGUGGAAUGUAUGAUUAAUGAAUGAACAAAUGAAAAGCCUUAUGUGUCUGUGUGUUGGUGUCUUUCUGUGUACGUUUGGGAUUGCAGUCCUAUUUCUCUGGCCAAAGUAUGGCUCUAUUCUUAAGCUGUGCUUGCCUGUGUUUUGGAAUAUAUGAAGAAUUCUCUGGGUCUGUGCAUAUGGGGC
Molecule: long non-coding RNA, 4051 nt
Filed under: Homo sapiens (human)
Lineage: Eukaryota; Metazoa; Chordata; Mammalia; Primates; Hominidae
Description: HSALNT0016029
Source: RNAcentral